GAUGAACGCUGGCGGCGUGCCUAAUACAUGCAAGUCGAGCGAACGGACGAGAAGCUUGCUUCUCUGAUGUUAGCGGCGGACGGGUGAGUAACACGUGGAUAACCUACCUAUAAGACUGGGAUAACUUCGGGAAACCGGAGCUAAUACCGGAUAAUAUUUUGAACCGCAUGGGUCAAAAGUGAAAGACGGUCUUGCUGUCACUUAUAGAUGGAUCCGCGCUGCAUUAGCUAGUUGGUAAGGUAACGGCUUACCAAGGCAACGAUGCAUAGCCGACCUGAGAGGGUGAUCGGCCACCCUGGAACUGAGACACGGUCCAGACGCCUACGGGAGGCAGCAGUAGGGUAUCUUCCGCAAUGGGCGAAAGCCUGACGGAGCAACGCCGCGUGAGUGAUGAAGGUCUUCGGAUCGUAAAACUCUGUUAUUAGGGAAGAACAUAUGUGUAAGUAACUGUGCACAUCUUGACGGUACCUAAUCAGAAAGCCACGGCUAACUACGUG
This 497-nucleotide ribosomal RNA is filed under the name uncultured bacterium. Its description in RNAcentral is "partial 16S ribosomal RNA". It matches the Rfam family "Bacterial small subunit ribosomal RNA", at positions 28 to 507 of the family's 1533-position model. The record is from RNAcentral.